Polypterus senegalus (gray bichir) is the source of this 843-nucleotide long non-coding RNA. RefSeq lists it as uncharacterized. The transcript has 5 exons. The record is from RefSeq and is a predicted model, not a curated record. NCBI's taxonomy places the organism in Eukaryota, Metazoa, Chordata, Cladistia, Polypteriformes, Polypteridae.
UUAUGGACUCAAUUUCCUAAUUAGAAGCCAGUUACUGUUCAAGUAAAAAAUUUUCUUUCCUUUUAGUCGAUACGGUGGUCUAGGAGUGCACAUCCCGAACACACACGCUGUCUACGACGUGUGGAUUGUGGAAGUGGGCAGCAACAAUUCAAAGAAUCGAGUGGAAAACGAGAAGAGAAAAGUGUAUUCCAAAUGAAAGAGCCUUAGGUGCUCCACGGACCAAGCACUGCAUUUCUUCAUAAUGAAAUUGAGAAGACCAUCAAGAAUAAUAGCCUUGACAAUCUCAGCAAAAUCUAGAAGGCCACCAGUAGAGUCAUAAGGCAACAUCAUUGCAACAGAAUAUCGUGUUCCAUGGAAGGAAAUGGUUUUUCACAACUAUACAAUGCUUCAGUUUUGGUGUGCUUCUAUAAUAGAGUUCUGGAUGCAAAACAUGGACUGACACUGAAGACACUUUUGAGACACACAAGAGCCUUAAUUGUGUGCCUGCUCCUGUUGCCAUGGGAAAAGCCUUGAGAAAUAACUUAAGCCAAAACUCUGUCAGCAUGCUAGAUGGAACUCAAAUAACACAAACUGGCAUAGUGGAUCCUAAGAAAUAUUUCGAAUGAGUCUCUCUUUUCCUAUUUGUUUUUGGCUACAUCAGCGCAGAGCCAAAAGAGUAUCCAUCCUCGCCAAACUACAGGUCUAUUCAGACUCCUAAAUGCUGCAAUACUAGAACAGAACAAACAAAGCAACAUUAGAACAGCAGUAGAAGAUGAAAGGUUAUGCUGUAAACCCACGGUCAUUUUAUGCCUCAUCAACAACCCUUCCCAGCAUUCCCACAAGAUCAUCCAAUCAAUAUGAAGA